RNAcentral lists this ribosomal RNA (202 nucleotides) under uncultured bacterium. RNAcentral's name for it is "partial 16S ribosomal RNA". It matches the Rfam family "Bacterial small subunit ribosomal RNA", at positions 328 to 539 of the family's 1533-position model. The record is from RNAcentral.
ACGCUCGACACCUACGGGAAGGCAGCAGUUAGGAAUAUUGGGCAAUGGAGGAAACUCUGACCCAGCAACGCCGCGUGAAGGAAGAAGGUUUUCGGAUUGUAAACUUCUGAUCUAGGGGAAGAAGGAAGUGACGGUACCCUAGGAGAAAGCCACGGCUAACUACGUGCUAGCAGCCGCGGUAAUCUGAGCGGGCUGGCAAGGC